RNAcentral lists this small RNA (603 nucleotides) under Pongo abelii (Sumatran orangutan). Its description in RNAcentral is "processed transcript". The record is from RNAcentral. Lineage: Eukaryota; Metazoa; Chordata; Mammalia; Primates; Hominidae.
UGUGGUGAAGGUCUGAACUCUCUACCAACCUGGCCAAGGACAAGGGAAGUCUCGAUGGAGUGCUGAGAGCCUUGAAAAAUCAAGGGUUUGAAAUCAUUGAGAGGGGUGAAAUCGAAGUGAAAGGUAAAGGGAAAAUGACCACAUACUUUUUGAUCCAGAACUUGAAUGCCACAGAGGAUGAGAUCAUGGGGAGAUCUAAAACCCCACUUGAUCACAAGGGUAAGCAAAAAAAAGAAGCUUUGUCAUUAGUGUUGAGUAGUUUUUCCACUAACCACUUCAGAUAUAUUUAGUAUCUGCACGGUCAACACAGAUAGCGUCCCUGCCCACCACCAAGCUCCAGGGCUCAGUUCAACCAUCUUGCCCUGAUUCUUGCAUCCUGGUUAUUAUGAUGUUCUUUGAGCUGGGCUGAUAGAUCCAGCUGAAGAGUUCUACAUACAUUAGUCUUCAAGGUUCUUCUCUGGGCGUUUCCCAUGCAGCUCUCUGGUAGCUGGGGAAUGAUUUAAGCAAGUGCUCAGGGAAAUCAAGACAGGAGAACUGUUGCCAUCAUGAGCUAUGCCGACAGUCAGCAGCUGAUCCCCGACAGAGACGCAGCAGACGCAGACG